RNAcentral lists this unclassified non-coding RNA (593 nucleotides) under Hevea brasiliensis (rubber tree). The record is from RNAcentral. Lineage: Eukaryota; Viridiplantae; Streptophyta; Magnoliopsida; Malpighiales; Euphorbiaceae.
GAGAAAGAUCAGAACUAUCAUCAGAAAACAGUUAGCUUUGAAAUAUAAAACACCUUAUGAUUUACUAUAAUUUAAACAUAAUACUAAUUGAGUUAUGAUUUACAAGAUGUGGGCAGUUGGGGUGGGGGGAUUAUAUAACAAGAAAUCAUUCCUGGAGGACAAAUGAGCCUUCUAUUCUUUUCCCCAGGGGUUGUGAAGCAAAACUCAAAGGAUUUAGCACAUCGUUAAAACUUGAAGAAGGAGCAGGCUUGAAUUCAUAAGGACCUCCUUUUACACCCCAAACUUGAUUGCCAUCAUCAUCAAAGCCUCUAUCCCAGGCAUGUAUCUCAUUAUUCUUUAACACAGCAAGUUCUGAGGUACAGUAUGUCGCACCAUUCCAUGAAUUAGGAAAUCCAUCUGCAGGUGUUGAACCUUCAUACAAGCACCGUUUCCCACGCUCACAGCGCUUUAGAUGAAUGGUAGUCAAAUGUUCAGCAAUGUCCCCAAUAACUUCUUCGGGUUGUGGACGCUGAUCCCUAGGGCGAUCACAAAAGUUCUUGUACUCCUCUGCAUCUCUGAUAGCAUAUGUGCUUAACUCAACAUCACAUUUCAAC